UACGUAGGGUGCGAGCGUUGUCCGGAAUUACUGGGCGUAAAGAGCUCGUAGGUGGUUUGUCGCGUUGUUCGUGAAAACCGGGGGCUUAACCCUCGGCGUGCGGGCGAUACGGGCAGACUUGAGUACUGCAGGGGAGACUGGAAUUCCUGGUGUAGCGGUUAAAUGCGCAGAUAUCAGGAGGAACACCGGUGGCGAAGGCGGGUCUCUGGACCGAUACCGACGCUGAGGAGCGAAAGCGUGGGGAGCGAACAGG
RNAcentral lists this ribosomal RNA (253 nucleotides) under uncultured bacterium. RNAcentral's name for it is "partial 16S ribosomal RNA". It matches the Rfam family "Bacterial small subunit ribosomal RNA", at positions 524 to 776 of the family's 1533-position model. The record is from RNAcentral.